AACAAUGGCAACACCAGUAGCUGUAGCGCUGCUCCGCGGCAACCAAAACACAGUUGGUUUCAAAGAGAGCACCUUCAACCUCUCCCCAUCACAAAUAGAAAGAAAUAAGAGCUUUUAAUUCCAAAAUCCAAUGCCCUGCAACAACAACGCUUCUGUUCUCCACAAUUUCCAAUUUCCUUUGCCAAGCAAACCACCCAUCGUCCCAAACGCCAAAACCGUCUCCUUCGCCUUAGAGAGAAACGAUAACGUACGGAAAGUGGUUCAGAUUAUUCCGUGGGUUGUUGAAGGAGUUUACAUUUUGUUGCUCUUUCUGCUUCCUUAUGCCUCUGGAGAUUUUGUGCUAUCAGUUCAGAGACUGUAUAUUCUCUCAUUGGACUUUCUCUCAAUUUCUUCUUCAUCUUGCCUUUUAUCGAUUCUGAUAUGUCCUUUUGGAACUCACUUCUGAUCGCUAGUAAAAUGAAUAAGUACUUGUUGAGUAUAUUUUAAGCUUGAUGGUUUCGGCAAUGGACUUUCUGGCUAGUGGUCGGCAUAAGUUAUGUUGACGCCCCAGUUCUUCACCCGGUAAGAAUGGUUGGCACUCGGUUCUGUACCCUUUUUACAGUCUAAUGUUGGCGUCGGUGAUUUUUCUUUCUUUUACCCGAUGUCUGAAGGAUUAUUCAACUCUUUUAUUGGGUGGAUUUUCAUGCUCGCUCCUUCGCUGUUCACCGAUUGCAAGAGGGAUAGGUACUGAUGUUAACUGGGUGUUGUAUGGGGCUUCCAGAUGUUCCUUACAAACAGUAUCCUUCCUUCCUUGCACACUCUUGUUUCCUUUUCCAUUCCCUUUAAAACACCACUCCAAGAUUACAAGAUCUUUUAGGAUGAUCACUCGAUUCGGCUGGAUGGCUUUUAAUAGCUAUUGGCGGGGCUGCAUGCCUGAUAUCAGUAUUAUGGGCUCUUUUCGGUCGAAUGGAUGGUGAUUUUGGGAGCGCAACAGACAGAUGGGGUUUUUUGGUUUGUUAUUUAAUCAGAGAGGUUGUUUAUAGUUUCAUUUGGGAUAUAUAUCUCUACAUAAUUUUCCAGCCGUGGCUGGGGUAGCUGAAUAUUUGCAAAAUGCUCAGAAAAGCAAGGUUGAUGUGGUGAGAUAUCUUGGAUUUGUUCCAGUGGUGGGCUUGUUUGCUUAUCUUCUCUGUUUGAAUCUUGACGAGGAACUGUGGCCAAAUGUAGUUCUUUGCUAGAUUUGAGUUAGAGUCAACUUUACAGGUUUCAAACUAGUUUAAAGGCGUGUCUUUUUUUCUUUCAGCAUCUGAAAUUUAAGGGAACUUUGUAUCCCUAUUUAGUGUACAGUAAAUAUACUAGUGAAUACGUGUGAUUAUUACAACGAAGCUCAAUAGUGAGUUGGAGAUGCUUUGCCUGUAUAUUGCUCCUUCUUUUGUUGAAAUGGUCAAAUCCAGAAACAAUACGUGAAAGAACUUUGUUAUAUUGUACGAGAGGAAGCUAUGUAUGAUCACCCCUUUCGUUUUCUUUUCAUUUUUUGUUCAAUGAUGAGUGUUAUGUUUUCAAGUUAUAUGAGCAGAAGUCAAAUGUGAUCGCUCCUUUGUUACAUUGUGUUAUCUUUUCCUCUCUUUUUUGGAUGUUUUUACAGCUGAAACAAAGUUACAAUUGGUGUCAUGCUCAGCUUCAGAGAAAUUAUCUCAGCUUUUCAUUUCAUGUCAUGUUAUAGAUUCCCGUGUGUGCGCUUCCGCUGCUCAAGGGAAUUUGUUAGUAUUGAGUGUUGAGCGAUGAUAAUUCUAUGGAAUUUAGUUGGAGCA
Populus euphratica (Euphrates poplar) is the source of this 1787-nucleotide long non-coding RNA. RefSeq lists it as uncharacterized. The transcript is spliced from 2 exons. NCBI's taxonomy places the organism in Eukaryota, Viridiplantae, Streptophyta, Magnoliopsida, Malpighiales, Salicaceae. The record is from RefSeq and is a predicted model, not a curated record.